Molecule: unclassified non-coding RNA, 1427 nt
Filed under: Bombus terrestris (buff-tailed bumblebee)
Lineage: Eukaryota; Metazoa; Arthropoda; Insecta; Hymenoptera; Apidae
Description: misc RNA ENSBTSG00005030704.1
Source: RNAcentral
AUUGAAGCGGAACACAAUGAGAAUGAACUGUGUAUAAUAAUAAAUUCGAUUUUCUAUCAGUGUGAUUGGACAUGGUGAACAUUUUGAAACAGCUAAUGUUCACCUUAAUUGUUAAUUUAUUUGCGUCUCCUAUCACUGAAAUCGGAAACUCCUUUUUCUCUUCUUUUUCUAUUCUCCGUUCUUUAUUUCCUCUCUUUUAUGUUUCUUUAUAUUUCUUGCAGAUUUUUUUUAUCAUUGUCGUUUCAUCACCCUCGUCGUUUAUUCGUUUUCUGCCACAACAUUCCGACUUCCUUCAUCAAGACGUCCGCGUGACGAGCAGCGAACAAAAGUGGGCAUUGUACGAGAGAAUGCAAGCCAGCGAACGAGAAAAGUGCCAUCGACGUCCACGCAACUGGCGCAACCAGGCGCCACGUCCCGUUUAGUCACGAACCAGAGGAACGCCGUACGCAUCCCCUCAUCGCCGAGGCAAGAACUAACACGUCACGACAGACGAGGGUCCUUGGAAGUCGACACCGGGCUACCUUGAGACGCGAAAACCAGCAUCGUAUAGGAAGGGAGUACUGCGCACCGUGAAUACUCACGGCAGCCUUGUAUACCGGGUGGAUCUGGCCAAUUUGUCGAUUGCUUAGGAGGUGAUUAUGGUAUAUUGAGUUUAGAAACGACAUUACGACGAAGUAAUCCUUUACCAACCGUGCGAUAUUAUAUAAUUUAUUCCAAAUGAUUCAUACUCUAUAUGUUCGUAUACACACGAAAAUAUUUGAAGAUUCAAGAAGAUUUUUAUGUAUAGUACAUUGUAUAUACAAAAGAUUUGGAAAUUGUAUUAGCACUUUAACGAGAUUCAACUGUCAUGAUUAUAUCAGUUAUUAUACAUAUGUAUAGAAUGUCGACACUAGUGCAGUAUAAAAUUGCGAUUAGUUAUUGGGUGUGAAAAUUAUAAAUUAGAACGAGAAAUAUCAGAUAUGGAGAUUUGCGAGCUGAGAUAAUUCUAGAUAUUAGAAAAGUAAUGAGCUGGUGCAAAUUGCACCUGCGAGGAAAACUACAGGCAGGAUUAAAGUUGGAUAAAAGUGAUUAUUCACUAAUAACGAGAUUGAGGCUUGGCAAAUAUGUGCAUAUCGGCGUAUUGCGUAACAGAGUUCCAUCGGAAGAUUGCAAGGCUUAGUAGUUUAUUAGUGGUAUAUUAAUUCAGUUGAAUCUACAAGGUACUAUUUUUAUACUCAGUUUUAUACAUGCUCGUUACGAUCUCUAAUUAAAUCAUUCACACAGCUAAUAUUAAAUUAUCGCAGACGCCGGUCAAUGAUACACGUCGAUCUCUAUUACGAUCAUUCCACGUCCUCGAUCUUAGCUGCUGAGUUUCUACGAUACGCAAUACACCGUUCGCAAUUAUCUUCACGCAACACUACGUUCACGCGAUGCGCCUCAAAUUCCAA